GUUAUUCGGUAUCUCCGUGCGAGAGCAUCGCCGUCGCCAUCGUUUGGCGAAAAAAUUGUGAAAAACCCGUCGAGGGAAUUAUUGUGCGCGGUUUAGAAGUGAUUUUCGGCUUGAUUAGCUUCGCGAAUGUGUCGGACAUAGAAUGCAGAUUUCACUGCACUAAACGCCACCGUGUUUAAGGAUAAUUUAGUCCCCACGCGAAUCCGACCUUGAGUCGCAUGUGCCUACAACGAACGAACAAAAGGCAAAAUCUCCGAAACUUCGCAGAAAGGUAGACGGUACGAGGAAGCACGGAACCGAUCAUCGGUGAAUUUUAUUCAACAGGCUGACAACCGAAUAGUAGAAGCUCACUCAAAAGCCGGAGAAGCGAGCCACAACUUCGUCUGGUGGAAAUCGUUCCUGUUUUUUUUGACACCAAUUGGGAUCCAGACUGAACCAAAGCACCCCAUCCAUUGGGGUGUUUGUGUGGUACCGAAACAGUUGGACGGUUUCAGACGGAAACCUCGUCAUCGACAACGAGUACGUCAAGGGCCUCGGAGGGACCCCAUCCAGCAUCCCGGUCGCGCUGGACGGCCAGAGGGGUCUCCAGCGGAGGAAUCAGCCUUGCGGGUCGUGUGGAGAGCGACGACGCGGCGAACAGAUGGUGGAAGGCGUGCAUAUUGCGGCGGUAGACGGCCGGCCGCGACAGGAAUCGGCACAAUAGGGGGACGCCCCAAGUAGCCGGUACCGUGAGUACGGAGAAGAAACCGUGAGUAAGAAAACUGAGGUGUUUUGUAAAGUAGGAAAAUAGAGAAAGAGGAGUGAAAGGGAAAGAAGAUAAGAUGACUAGGAGGUAGGAAGUAACAGAGGAAAAUGGGUGCAUUACCCUAAAUACAUGUAUUAAAUUGAGAUUUGUGGUUAU
This is a long non-coding RNA of Armigeres subalbatus, 901 nucleotides long. RefSeq lists it as uncharacterized. NCBI's taxonomy places the organism in Eukaryota, Metazoa, Arthropoda, Insecta, Diptera, Culicidae. The transcript has 4 exons. The record is from RefSeq and is a predicted model, not a curated record.